RNAcentral lists this transfer RNA (28 nucleotides) under Ursus arctos (brown bear). Its description in RNAcentral is "partial tRNA-Asp". Lineage: Eukaryota; Metazoa; Chordata; Mammalia; Carnivora; Ursidae. The record is from RNAcentral.
GAGAUAUUAGUAAAAAUUACAUAACUUU